This 229-nucleotide ribosomal RNA is filed under the name uncultured bacterium. RNAcentral describes it as "partial 16S ribosomal RNA". It matches the Rfam family "Bacterial small subunit ribosomal RNA", at positions 568 to 796 of the family's 1533-position model. The record is from RNAcentral.
CGUGUAGGCGGGAAAGUAAGUCAGAUGUGAAAGCCCAGAGCUUAACUUUGGGAUUGCAUCUGAAACUACUUUUCUUGAGUACUGGAGAGGGAAGCGGAAUUCCUAGUGUAGCGGUGAAAUGCGUAGAUAUUAGGAGGAACACCAGUGGCGAAGGCGGCUUCCUGGACAGAGACUGACGCUGAGACGCGAAAGCGUGGGGAGCAAACAGGAUUAGAUACCCUGGUAGUCC